GAACGAACGCUGGCGGCAUGCCUAACACAUGCAAGUCGAACGAGACCUUCGGGUCUAGUGGCGCACGGGUGCGUAACGCGUGGGAACCUGCCCUUAGGUUCGGAAUAACUCCCCGAAAGGGGUGCUAAUACCGGAUAAUGUCUUCGGACCAAAGAUUUAUCGCCUUUGGAUGGGCCCGCGUUGGAUUAGCUAGUUGGUAGGGUAAAAGCCUACCAAGGCGACGAUCCAUAGCUGGUCUGAGAGGAUGAUGAGCCACACUGGGACUGAGACACGGCCCAGACUCCUACGGGAGGCAGCAGUGGGGAAUAUUGGACAAUGGGCGAAAGCCUGAUCCAGCAAUGCCGCGUGAGUGAUGAAGGCCUUAGGGUUGUAAAGCUCUUUUACCCGGGAUGAUAAUGACAGUACCGGGAGAAUAAGCUCCGGCUAACUCCGUG
RNAcentral lists this ribosomal RNA (434 nucleotides) under uncultured bacterium. RNAcentral's name for it is "partial 16S ribosomal RNA". It matches the Rfam family "Bacterial small subunit ribosomal RNA", at positions 27 to 507 of the family's 1533-position model. The record is from RNAcentral.